AGAGUUUGAUCCUGGCUCAGAGUGAACGCUGGCGGCAGGCCUAAUACAUGCAAGUUGAACGGCAGCACGGCAGAGCUUGCUCUGUGGGUGGCGAGUGGCGGACGGGUGAGGAAUACAUGGGAAUCUGCCCAGUCGUGGGGAUAACGUAGGGAAACUUACGCUAAUACCGCAUGCGCCCUUCGGGGGAAAGCCGGGGACCUUCGGGCCUGGCGCGAUUGGAUGAGCCCAUGUCGGAUUAGCUAGUUGGCGGGGUAAUGGCCCAACCAAGGCGACGAUCCGUAGCUGGGUCUGAGAGGAUGAUCAGCCACACUGGAACUGAGACACGGUCCAGACUCCUACGGGAGGCAGCAGUAGGGAAUAUUGGACAAUGGGCGCAAGCCUGAUCCAGCCAUGCCGCGUGAGUGAAGAAGGCCCUCGGGUUGUAAAGCUCUUUUGUCCGGAAAGAAAAGCGCCGGGUUAAUACCCUGGUGUCCUGACGGUACCGGAAGAAUAAGCACCGGCUAACUUCGUG
RNAcentral lists this ribosomal RNA (511 nucleotides) under uncultured bacterium. Its description in RNAcentral is "bacterial SSU rRNA". It matches the Rfam family "Bacterial small subunit ribosomal RNA", at positions 8 to 507 of the family's 1533-position model. The record is from RNAcentral.